Molecule: ribosomal RNA, 454 nt
Filed under: uncultured bacterium
Lineage: Bacteria
Description: bacterial SSU rRNA
Rfam family: Bacterial small subunit ribosomal RNA
Source: RNAcentral
CGCGAAGAACCUUACCGGGCCUUGUACACACCGAGCCUUGUACACACCGGGGUCUUGUACACCGAAAACUCGCAGAGAUGUGGGGUCCGCAAGGGCGGUGUACAGGUGGUGCAUGGUUGUCGUCAGCUCGUGUCGUGAGAUGUUGGGUUAAGUCCCGCAACGAGCGCAACCCUUUUCCUUAUUUGCCAGCGGGUUAAGCCGGGAACUUUAAGGAUACUGCCAGUGACAAACUGGAGGAAGGCGGGGACGACGUCAAGUCAUCAUGGCCCUUACGACCAGGGCUACACACGUGCUACAAUGGUCGGUACAAAGGGUUGCUACCUAGCGAUAGGAUGCUAAUCUCAAAAAGCCGAUCGUAGUCCGGAUUGGAGUCUGCAACUCGACUCCAUGAAGUCGGAAUCGCUAGUAAUCGCGGAUCAGAAAUCCGUGCGCUCUACGGGUCUUGUACACACCG